GCUCCUUUGGCCUAGUGGUUAUGGCGUGGCUCUUAUGUGGUUUUUCUGGAAACAGACUCCGCAUGACCGGACUAGCUGAAGUCGAGGGUUCGACUCCCUCAAGGAGCA
Non-coding RNA from Aspergillus hancockii, 108 nucleotides. The record is from the annotation of a GenBank genome assembly. Lineage: Eukaryota; Fungi; Ascomycota; Eurotiomycetes; Eurotiales; Aspergillaceae.